AGCUUGCUCCCUGAGAUUAGCGGCGGACGGGUGAGUAACACGUGGGCAACCUGCCUAUAAGACUGGGAUAACUUCGGGAAACCGGAGCUAAUACCGGAUACGUUCUUUUCUCGCAUGAGAGAAGAUGGAAAGACGGUUUACGCUGUCACUUAUAGAUGGGCCCGCGGCGCAUUAGCUAGUUGGUGAGGUAAUGGCUCACCAAGGCGACGAUGCGUAGCCGACCUGAGAGGGUGAUCGGCCACACUGGGACUGAGACACGGCCCAGACUCCUACGGGAGGCAGCAGUAGGGAAUCUUCCGCAAUGGACGAAAGUCUGACGGAGCAACGCCGCGUGAACGAAGAAGGCCUUCGGGUCGUAAAGUUCUGUUGUUAGGGAAGAACAAGUACCAGAGUAACUGCUGGUACCUUGACGGUACCUAACCAGAAAGCCACGGCUAACUACGUGCCAGCAGCCGCGGUAAUACGUAGGUGGCAAGCGUUGUCCGGAAUUAUUGGGCGUAAAGCGCGCGCAGGUGGUUCC
RNAcentral lists this ribosomal RNA (520 nucleotides) under Bacillus sp. 65(2013). RNAcentral's name for it is "bacterial SSU rRNA". It matches the Rfam family "Bacterial small subunit ribosomal RNA", at positions 77 to 582 of the family's 1533-position model. The record is from RNAcentral. Lineage: Bacteria; Bacillati; Bacillota; Bacilli; Caryophanales; Bacillaceae.